GGAUUGAGGGUGAUCUGACUGUGACAUCUGUCACCCCAUUGAUAGCCAAUGUUGAUUCUGCUAAUCUGGCUGGAUAGACAGUAUCCUCUUUCUCCCUCUCUGGUCUAUGUGCAUCUCUUUUGAAGCUGCAUGCUCAGUCAAAGAGGACGACAUUCCCUGACAGACCGUUCUUCCGUCAAGGGUAUAGGAGCGCUCCGCUGCUAAGACAAGCUCCAAAGGUCCAUUUGUGGGAGAAGGUAGGGUAGGUAGUCAAGCUUCCAAAUCUCCAGAUACAUCCAAAUGAAGUGCUGCGCGUGGCAAUCUGCCUUCCUGU
RNAcentral lists this small nuclear RNA (313 nucleotides) under Phascolarctos cinereus (koala). Its description in RNAcentral is "7SK RNA (ENSPCIG00000015473.2)". It matches the Rfam family "7SK RNA". From Rfam's summary of the family: 7SK was discovered as an abundant small nuclear RNA in the mid-70s but a possible function has only recently been suggested. Two independent studies have found that 7SK RNA binds the CDK9/cyclin T complex (known as elongation factor P-TEFb). P-TEFb activates transcription by phosphorylating the C-terminal domain of RNA polymerase II. Lineage: Eukaryota; Metazoa; Chordata; Mammalia; Diprotodontia; Phascolarctidae. The record is from Rfam by way of RNAcentral.